UAACACGUGGAUAACCUGCCUUAUACUGGGGGAUAACAGCCAGAAAUGGCUGCUAAUACCGCAUAAGCGCACGGCGCCGCAUGGCGCAGUGUGAAAAACUCCGGUGGUAUAAGAUGGAUCCGCGCCUGAUUAGCUAGUUGGCGGGGCAGCGGCCCACCAAGGCGACGAUCAGUAGCCGGCCUGAGAGGGCGACCGGCCACAUUGGGACUGAGACACGGCCCAAACUCCUACGGGAGGCAGCAGUGGGGAAUAUUGCACAAUGGGGGGAACCCUGAUGCAGCGACGCCGCGUGAGUGAAGAAGUAUUUCGGUAUGUAAAGCUCUAUCAGCAGGGAAGAAGAUGACGGUACCUGACUAAGAAGCCCCGGCUAACUACGUGCCAGCAGCCGCGGUAAUACGUAGGGGGCAAGCGUUAUCCGGAUUUACUGGGUGUAAAGGGAGCGUAGACGGCAGGGCAAGUCUGGAGUGAAAGCCCGGGGCCCAACCCCGGGACUGCUUUGGAAACUGCCAUGCUGGAGUGCUGGAGAGGUAAGCGGAAUUCCUAGUGUAGCGGUGAAAUGCGUAGAUAUUAGGAGGAACACCAGUGGCGAAGGCGGCUUACUGGACAGUAACUGACGUUGAGGCUCGAAAGCGUGGGGAGCAAACAGGAUUAGAUACCCUGGUAGU
This 665-nucleotide ribosomal RNA is filed under the name uncultured bacterium. Its description in RNAcentral is "bacterial SSU rRNA". It matches the Rfam family "Bacterial small subunit ribosomal RNA", at positions 111 to 794 of the family's 1533-position model. The record is from RNAcentral.